CUUCACUUCACUCCUCUCAGCUCCACCUGUCUGCCUGCUUACAACCUGUGUCUGUGUCUGUUCUUCUGUGCGCCUCCUCACAGGUAUUCCUCCACAGUUUUCCUUUAAUGUCUUCCAUGUUGUUGCAUCUAUCAAUUGCUCUUUCCUCUUUAUUUCUAAGUAUUACUGUAUGAACACUUUGUGAUUAUGUUGAUUCGCUUGUUUUCUUGUCUUUGAGACUUGUGUGUAUGAGACAGGUAGGAAGGUAUUUUUUUUUUUACCACAGUUGGAUUUUUUCAUUUUAUAUUUCAUAUAAGGUAAUAUGGUCCUUGGGGAAAACUCAGGCCUACUGAACAUAUUUACACACAUGACAUUGCCCAGACAGAAAUGUGCUCCAAUCCACUAUGCUACACAGAUGGCCUAUUGCAUUUAUUGAUUCUUCUACCUAUAGAUUCGAAAGGUGUUAUUAGAGAUUUCAUAUCUGGAAGUAUAAUUGGCCACAGAACGUAAUGGGAAGAGAAUGGGUGUCAGGGAGGUUUGGUUGCUCAUGCUCAGACAUUUUUCUUGAAUCUGGCUGUCUAAAAAUUAGCUUCCUUACUCACACAAUGGAAAUAUUGAUGUGCAACUCAUGAAGUUAUGAGAAGCCAGAAUAAAAUAAGUUUUAAACAGUGAUAGAGUUCUCAGCAAAUAGUCCUCUCAUUCUUCUUUUCUCAUCUCCUUAUUCAGAAUGAUCUUUUGGCAUAGAUAAAUUUUUAAACUUCUAUUGCUUGUCACCUAUCUUCAUCUCCAUUACCAUGUUCAUCGCUGCAACCUACAACCUCAAAAUCACACCUUACAGGAAGUUCUGUUGCUUUUGCUGUAAAUAAUAAGAGCCAAUAAAAACAUAUCAGGAAACACUAAUUUGGAUAGUGGGCAUGGAAAUAGACUAUAAGAAAAAAUAAAGAGCAACUGAAAUGUAAUGCUAUAUAAUAUAUCAAGCAGAUGUGUGU
This 968-nucleotide long non-coding RNA is filed under the name Marmota monax (woodchuck). The record is from RNAcentral. Lineage: Eukaryota; Metazoa; Chordata; Mammalia; Rodentia; Sciuridae.